AUAUAUAUAUUAACUCAAAAAUAAACAAAUGCCAAGAAGAAAAACUAAUAUGUUUUUUGUCCGUAAUUUGUUACAGAAAGCCAAGUAAAUAACCAUAUAUCAGUACAGCAAAAAGAGAACCUUAGUCCUAGCAAAGAUUGGUGCCAGCAAGGCAUUUUUCUAGCUUUUUCAGGUUGAGAUAUCAGUGGCCCUCAAGAGCCCAUAAGCUAAACGAUUCCAAGAAGCACUUAGCCCACAAUCACAGUCUAAAUAACAACAUAAGUGUUAUUUACAGUCUUAUAGCUUCCUCAAACUGAAAAUAUCGAUGCAUCAAGCCCAAGUUAAAAAACUGUAUACCUUCUUCCAAAUCUCAAAAGCUGCAUAUAUAUAAACCAAAAUUCUUAAGCCUUUCUUUCUAUGUUUCCAUUCUCAGCGUCCAAAAAGAGGCUAAAAGAAAAGAAAAGAAAUCCUAAAAC
Molecule: unclassified non-coding RNA, 455 nt
Filed under: Hevea brasiliensis (rubber tree)
Lineage: Eukaryota; Viridiplantae; Streptophyta; Magnoliopsida; Malpighiales; Euphorbiaceae
Source: RNAcentral